Molecule: unclassified non-coding RNA, 329 nt
Filed under: soil metagenome
Description: partial contains 5.8S ribosomal RNA, internal transcribed spacer 2, and large subunit ribosomal RNA
Rfam family: 5.8S ribosomal RNA (bases 1-120)
Source: RNAcentral
GAUGAAGAACGCAGCGAAAUGCGAUACGUAAUGUGAAUUGCAGAUUUCAGUGAAUCAUCGAAUCUUUGAACGCACAUUGCGCCCGCCAGUAUUCUGGCGGGCAUGCCUGUUCGAGCGUCAUUUCAACCAUCAAGCGCCUCGCUUGUGUUGGGGCCCUGCGGCUGCCGCAGGCCCCUAAAUCCAGUGGCGGGCUCGUCGUCGUACCGAGUGCAGUAAACAUCCUCGCUCAGGGAACCCGACGGGUGCCGGCCGUGAAACCCCCCCUCCUCAAGGUUGACCUCGGAUCAGGUAGGAAUACCCGCUGAACUUAAGCAUAUCAAUAAGCGGAG